ACUCUGUGAUUACAUCAGUAUAUUUGACUUCCAAUCAUAAGGUCUUGGCGAAAAUCCAAGACAGAGUA
This 68-nucleotide transfer RNA is filed under the name Nacospatangus altus. RNAcentral's name for it is "Nacospatangus alta tRNA-Gly". It matches the Rfam family "tRNA". Rfam says of the family: Transfer RNA (tRNA) molecules are approximately 80 nucleotides in length. The record is from RNAcentral. Lineage: Eukaryota; Metazoa; Echinodermata; Echinoidea; Spatangoida; Maretiidae.